GCGAGAUUCAUUCAUAUUCCGUACCGAGGGACGAGAAAAAUCAGGAUUUCCGAUUACCGCCGCGCUGCCGCUACGCCGAGUCGAGGAAUCGCUGAAAUUUUUUUUUCCACAUCUACCUACGUUUUACGAUCGGUUGGAAUUAAUUUUCAAAGGGGCAAUUAUUUCUGUAUAUUUGUAUACGUGUAUUCUAAACGGCCGGUUGCGCAAUUUAAUUUAGCAAAAAAAAAAAAAAAAAAAGGAAUAUACGUAUAUAUGACGGAGGUCCGUAUCCCGCGCUGUUUUCAUACCAUUAAACGCGUCUGUCCGCCAACCGUGUUCGCGGCAAUCGCAACGAAGUAUUAAAGCGGAGGAGGAAAGCACAAGUUGGAAGUUGGAAGUUGGAAGUUGGAAGUUGGAAGGCUAUUAAUAGGGAAUAAAUGCGGUAAGGAAACUCGUAAAUAUGUAUACGCGAACGUAUGUGUGUCAGUAGAGCCUAUUAGGCGUUUUCUUAGCCUGCGAACGUGAACUGGCGAACCGUAGAACGGUAUAAUAACGUUGGAACGGUAGAACGGUGGCGCCCGUAAUUCCGAUCUCAUAUAUACCCGGGGUACCCAACUCGCAUGUACCCACGUACGUAUACAUAAUAUGUAUACGUACAUUACGCGAAACCUGGACGUAUAUAUACAUACAUACAUACAUACAUCUGUACAUAUAUAUUUAUGUAUACGCGAAGGAAUGUACGUACGGGGUUCGACUUUUUAUUUCACAUAUGGCGCAAGCUGCCUCGGCCGCAGCAGCAGCAACGAUCGGCGGAAAGGAGCAAGUGCGCCAAGCCGUUUAUUGUUUUAUGCGCGCGAAUCGUAAAUCGCUAGUCCGCUGUGUUUGCCACGUGACGCGAAUCGCUGCUUACUUCGACGUCUCAUUCUUUCGCCCCUUAUAUAUAUACAUAUAUAUACGUCCUGCUGCGUCCUCCUCUUCCCCCCCAGCUUUUUUAUUUAUUUAUUUAAUCCUUCGCCUCCUCUUCUCUCCUCCUUUUUUUUCCUCUCUCAUUUUAUCCUCCGUUCCUCUCGUCGUCGCGUCUACACCCCUACCGAUGUCCUGUAUUUAUCUGGCGAAUCACCAUUCGGAUACCUCGAAAUCAUCGAGGAUCAAAUUCGAGGAUUUUCAUGACCAGGAUCGUCAAUUUUCGCGGGGAUUUUCGUUCGCCUGUAGAAAAUUUCAGACUCCAACGUCUUCGCAGUGUUUCGGGUAACCCAUCCCCCGGCCGUACGAGGUAACGCAAUAACAUAACAAGGCGUACGGAUUCCGGAGGUCACCGGUGUUUAUAUUGUCUCGUUAGUUGGUCUCGAGUUUCCGAAUCGGGCGGAUCGUUUCGCAGCAUAUUCCCCGUAUAGGUGUAGAGUUGUUAUAUAGUCUCCGUUGAGCUCAGUGCACGCCUAACUGCGCAGUUUUAAUAUCGUUAAAUAAUACGAGUGUAGGUACGCGACGCGCAGUGCCGCUAGUCACGAUCCCUCUAUCUCGUGUUCCGGCUUUUCUAAUAAGUGCAGAUUGAUAAUUAGCGAUCGGUAAUUAGUGAUUAGUGAUCGAUAGCGAGUGAUCUACGCCUCCGUCAUCCGCACUUAUAAUACCGGUCCACGAUGGUGUCGAUAGAUCCGAAGCGAUUGCUGUAACCGGCCAGGAAAUUACGGCGCAAUUAUCACAAAUCACUAACGAACUGGUACACAGCUGCAACCGAUCCUUGCAACCUGCUGCAAUUCUCUACGACGGACGCACAAUACCUGCGCGCAGCACGGAAUGACUUUGGCGGGGAGUUAUUCCGGAAAAGAGAUGCAGGAGAAUGAUAACGCUGGAGGACGGAGGCCGUUUGUUUCUCUCUUCUUCUUCUUCUGAGGAAGUCCAGCUUCGAGUCGACGUCGAGUCGCGGAUCUGGUCUGCUCGGACGAUUGGAAAUUCGAGCGAACGCAGGAGACAGGUCUGAAGAUUAUUUAAGGUAUAGCGAACGAUUUUUCGAAAAUCUUCGCUCGACCAGUCCUGCAAGGUAAUAUGCACGCGGCGAGUUUAGCGUUAACAAGUGCCAAGAUAGCGGUAUAAAGUGCAUCGUACGAGGACGUCGCGAUACGGGGGAAAGGAAACGGCCACAUCCCAGCUACGUCUCGCGAAAACAGCCUUGGUAUUGGUAACUCCGGUAGUGACCCGUGUGCAGCGAACGAACGACCACGCAACUCGCCCCGUACGGUCAGCUCUUUUUAGAGUGGAUAUACAUAUCUAUUUGUAAUGCGGACCAACUUUUCUGAAGUUGCACUGCACAGGUAUGUGUGUGUUCGGUGGAACAUGUAUAAAAGGUAGUACGCAAGGUACGUAUGGAUAAAUCUUUGCGGUAGGUGUACGGCAACUGUCGUAACACAUUGAUUUAUCGAUCCUGAUUGCAAUUCAUCAUUAUACUCUGGUUGAAAAGCCCCCCCCCCCCCCCUAUCAACCUUCCCCUGCACAUGCCCCCCCCCCCUUCUCUGCCCCCCUGCCCCCCUUUCGUAUUAGUAUACACCCGUUGUUUAAACCAUCGAUGUAUAAAUUUCCAUGAGGAAACUGGUUGUCCUGUUACCAGUACAACGAUCACUUUUGUCAUGUAUUUUAUAUCCUACGCUUUGCACGCCCACUUUAUUUUAUCCUAUUCAAAGAUCACGAGGAGACGUGAAAAUUUCUCAAUAGAUGACUGUACGG
Athalia rosae (coleseed sawfly) is the source of this 2697-nucleotide long non-coding RNA. RefSeq lists it as uncharacterized. The transcript has 3 exons. NCBI's taxonomy places the organism in Eukaryota, Metazoa, Arthropoda, Insecta, Hymenoptera, Athaliidae. The record is from RefSeq and is a predicted model, not a curated record.